UGUUAGCGGCGGACGGGUGAGUAACACGUGGGUAACCUGCCUGUAAGACUGGGAUAACUCCGGGAAACCGGGGCUAAUACCGGAUGGUUGUUUGAACCGCAUGGUUCAAACAUAAAAGGUGGCUUCGGCUACCACUUACAGAUGGACCCGCGGCGCAUUAGCUAGUUGGUGAGGUAACGGCUCACCAAGGCAACGAUGCGUAGCCGACCUGAGAGGGUGAUCGGCCACACUGGGACUGAGACACGGCCCAGACUCCUACGGGAGGCAGCAGUAGGGAAUCUUCCGCAAUGGACGAAAGUCUGACGGAGCAACGCCGCGUGAGUGAUGAAGGUUUUCGGAUCGUAAAGCUCUGUUGUUAGGGAAGAACAAGUACCGUUCGAAUAGGGCGGUACCUUGACGGUACCUAACCAGAAAGCCACGGCUAACUACGUGCCAGCAGCCGCGGUAAUACGUAGGUGGCAAGCGUUGUCCGGAAUUAUUGGGCGUAAAGGGCUCGCAGGCGGUUUCUUAAGUCUGAUGUGAAAGCCCCCGGCUCAACCGGGGAGGGUCAUUGGAAACUGGGGAACUUGAGUGCAGAAGAGGAGAGUGGAAUUCCACGUG
This 600-nucleotide ribosomal RNA is filed under the name Bacillus subtilis. Its description in RNAcentral is "bacterial SSU rRNA". It matches the Rfam family "Bacterial small subunit ribosomal RNA", at positions 90 to 675 of the family's 1533-position model. The record is from RNAcentral. Lineage: Bacteria; Bacillati; Bacillota; Bacilli; Caryophanales; Bacillaceae.